UGUGUUGAGAAGGAAACUGCUUCCUCGUCCCCUCCUCCCAAGCCAGGGGCCUCUUUCAUUUCAGUCCAGCAGAUGAUGCCUGCAGAGCUCUCCCAUGGAGCACUGCUGUAGCAGAGAAAAGCUUUUUCCCUUUACACAGCUGCUUCCCUACUCUGUUCUAUUAAAUGACCACAAAGACUCCUCAGAGCUACCAGAGCACCACAUCUAGAGUCUUCAAACUGAGCUGGAAAGCAGAGCUGGCAAGAAAAAUUUUCAAUCCUACUAUUCAUCAGAAUUAUCUAGUUCACCAAAAUCAACCUGCAUUAUUUCAACCAACCUCCGACAGGCUUUGGAGAGCAGGCAGGCCAGAGAGAUGGCACUUGACAGGCUUUUUCCAGAAAUCUAGCUACACACAGCAGCCCGAGAUCAGAGCCUAAAGUUUGGGAGCCUGUAUUACCAGGGGCUUGGAUGCCUUCAUCAAGGAUGUCAUGGUGUCUGGGUCUCUGCAUCCACAGCCAUCUGCUAUCCUAAUCCUGAACCUGGGGGGCCUGGAGCCCUGAUAGCUCUCUAAUGAACCCCUCCUGCCUCCUGCUGGGUUGACAGGAGAAGGAUGAGGUAGGCGAGGAUGCCUUUUGUCCACCCAUGAUUCUGCUGUUGGGACACUGAAACGGCAGGUGUCACACGGACUGCAGUCAAAAGUUUCUGGGAUGCUUGGCUCUAUUCUACUCAUACAGAUGAAGUGCUUGAGAUCCCAGGGAACACUUCAUUUGGGGAACAACAGUUUCUUGUCUCUCCAAAAGAAAAUAUCUUGGGAUUUUUAGUCUGAAAACAGUUUUGAAUUUUCAGGUUUCAUUCUGCUUCCAGGCAAUAAAACUGCCUUCCAGUCACCUUCACUGGUGACUUUUCUGAAGUUCAGCCU
Molecule: long non-coding RNA, 898 nt
Organism: Pezoporus occidentalis (night parrot)
Lineage: Eukaryota; Metazoa; Chordata; Aves; Psittaciformes; Psittacidae
Exons: 2
Source: RefSeq, a predicted model, not a curated record